This 405-nucleotide ribosomal RNA is filed under the name uncultured bacterium. RNAcentral's name for it is "partial 16S ribosomal RNA". It matches the Rfam family "Bacterial small subunit ribosomal RNA", at positions 28 to 526 of the family's 1533-position model. The record is from RNAcentral.
GAUGAACGCUGGCGGCGUGCCUAAUACAUGCAAGUCGAGCGAAGCGGGGACGGGUGCGUAACACGUGUAUAACCUCCUAUACGACUGGGAUAACUUCGGGAAACCGUAGCUAAACCGGAUACUUUUCAAUGGACCCGCGCUGCAUUCGCUAGUUGGUAAGGUACCGGCUGACAAAAGCAACGAUGCAUAGCCGACCUCAGAGUGUGAUCGGCCAUACCGGAACUGAGACUCGGGCCAUACUCCUACGGGAGGCAGCAGUAGGGAUUCUUCCGCAAUGGGCUAAAGCCUGACGGGGCAACGCCGCGUGAGUGAUGAAGGUCUUCGGGGCGUAAACCUCUGUUAUUAUGGUAGCGGUACCUAAUGAGAGAGCCACGGCUAACUACGGGCCAGCAGGCGCGGGAAUUC